Molecule: long non-coding RNA, 1099 nt
Organism: Nicotiana tabacum (common tobacco)
Lineage: Eukaryota; Viridiplantae; Streptophyta; Magnoliopsida; Solanales; Solanaceae
Source: RefSeq, a predicted model, not a curated record
GGCGGUUAUCAAAACCGCCAUUAUAGCACUAUGGCAAAUUUUAAGCCGCCAAUGAUGCAUCCAUAAAGCGGCGAUUUUAGCAUAAUAAAUGGCGGUUUAAAACGCCGCUAUUUUUAUUUCAGAAUUUUCAUACGUCAUAACAUUUGAGGCCAGUAGAACCUUUGAUUGGGAAGAAAUGGCGAAUCUGUGGUCUACGAUGAAGCUCCCAUAGAUUUUGCUGAACUCCGCCACGGUCAUGGUCACGCCUUCAGCAAUUCAAACUCCUAACUCCAAAUAAAGCUCAGCCAAGUCAUCUCUAUUUUUAUCUCCUUUCUGCUCUGUAUUGAUUAUAUAUUGACGUGGAUCUAGGGUUUUAUUGUUUGUUUGCGUUGCUCUGUCAAUACAACAAACCUAUUGUAAUCUAUUGUUCUGCAUUUUGAGAGCCUAUUGUUUAUCAAAACAAAGGGGUUUAAUGUGGUACUUUAUAUUCAACAGGAGAUGGUAUUCCUAUAUCUAAAAGAGCAAAGGAUUUGGUGACAUUGUUGGAUAUCAAUAUCCUGCCUUUGCAGGUCAAAACUUCUGAAAUACAUAGUGGUUAUACAGAGGCAUACACCAUUCGGAUAGUUAAGAGACUGAAGAACUUCAACAAAUCAACACGAGAAUUUAUUCGAUUCCUCAAAACUAUUGAGUGUGUGACAAUUAUCAUAAGCAAAGCUGGAGUUGCGCUGCAUAACAAGAGGAUUGAAUGUUGGAUCAUUACCAAAGGAAAGGUUUUAUUAGAUUUCUCUACUUGACCACCUUAUUUUUGUUCAUGUUAACUGCGAUAGUGAUGACAUUUUCAUUCCAGUCUUACUGCAGAAAAAAGCAAAAGAUAAAAGUGUAAAUUGCCCCGAGCAAAUGGUACUUAUUUAGCAACGUAUUUCUUGCAGGUAUUUGAUUCAAGAAGUGGACGGCACUUGAAGAUGUUCAAACGGGAGUAACAAUGCGUAUCAUGUGUGCGGCCAUUAGUCAUUAUUGUUAGGAUUGACUUAAGUUUUCCUUUAAUCUUGUUAAGUAGUAGUUCUUUGAGAUUUUAACACAUUUGGUAUUGUGAUUUUACACUACUUAACGUUCUUUUUAA